CCAGAACAUUUACCAUUGACCGGGUUCCUGAUCCCAACCAACCUUUCCACCCAGACACCACACUUAUUUUAGAGCAGAGCUGUCCACCACCCAGGCCUGUUGCAGGCCAUCAGGGCCCAAAGGUCAAGCUGCCCGCCCUGCCUUCAGUUAGUUGUACCUUUCAGCCAGAAAGACAGGUCACUACCAGCCAAAAUGGUGGGAUAAUUAGGACCAGGAGAAGACCAGAGCCUAGGCUCUACAAGAAGAGACAUGGGAGCCAGCCCUCUGCUGAGACAUGGCCGAGAUAGAAGACUCAGAAUUUCUUCUCCUUCGAAAUUCUAUGAAACCAAGUUCUGUUGGCAAAGAAAGAUGAAGAAAUAAAGUGUGACCUCCCAGCUGGGUGAGCUGUAAUCCCAACAAUCAGAAUGUUGAGGGCACAGAAGUCUGAAGUUCUAGAAGCUUGCUUCAGACUGCUUCUCGAAUCCAGUUUCCACUGGGUGCUGCCUCUCCACACAUUUAGUGAGACUCUGGGAAGAUGACCACACAACAGUAAUUAAAGAUGCUUGCAGCUGCCAGGCAGUGGUGGCACACACCUUUAGUCCCAGCACUUGGGAGGCAGAGGCAAGUGGAUCAGCCUGGUCUCCAGAGUGAGUUCCAGGACAGCCUCCAAAGCCACAGAGAAAUCCUGUCUCGAAAAACCCAAAGGGAAAAAAAAAGAUGUUUGCAGCUGAGAAUGACAGCUGACAUCUGUAAUCACAUCCUGCAG
RNAcentral lists this long non-coding RNA (745 nucleotides) under Cricetulus griseus (Chinese hamster). RNAcentral describes it as "lncRNA (ENSCGRG00015039549.1)". The record is from RNAcentral. Lineage: Eukaryota; Metazoa; Chordata; Mammalia; Rodentia; Cricetidae.